GAUGAACGCUGGCAGCGUGCUUAACACAUGCAAGUCGAACGGAAAGGCUCCUGCUUGCAGGGGUACUCGAGUGGCGAACGGGUGAGUAACACGUGGGUGAUCUGCCCUGCACUUCGGGAUAAGCCUGGGAAACUGGGUCUAAUACCGGAUAGGACCACAUUUUGGAUGGUGUGGUGGAAAGUUUUUCGGUGUGGGAUGAGCUCGCGGCCUAUCAGCUUGUUGGUGGGGUAAUGGUCUACCAAGGCGUCGACGGGUAGCCGGCCUGAGAGGGUGUACGGCCACAUUGGGACUGAGAUACGGCCCAGACUCCUACGGGAGGCAGCAGUGGGGAAUAUUGCACAAUGGGCGCAAGCCUGAUGCAGCGACGCCGCGUGGGGGAUGACGGCCUUCGGGUUGUAAACUCCUUUCGCUAGGGACGAAGCGUUUUUGUGACGGUACCUGGAGAAGAAGCACCGGCUAACUACGUG
RNAcentral lists this ribosomal RNA (467 nucleotides) under uncultured bacterium. Its description in RNAcentral is "partial 16S ribosomal RNA". It matches the Rfam family "Bacterial small subunit ribosomal RNA", at positions 28 to 507 of the family's 1533-position model. The record is from RNAcentral.